AUAUAUAUAUAUAUAUAUAUAUACGACUUAAUCUUUUUUAAGGGCGGCUUAAUUAGUCUCCUGUGAAAAUUGUGAAGUGUACUGAAGUCACUAGUUUAAAUUCAUUUAAGGAAUUGAAUAUUUCACUGACCACAAUGUUUAUUACUGUACUAGAAAUACAUGCAUGCAGCAACCCCUCCCCUGUAUUUUCCAAGCAUUGAUUUAACAUGAACUAUUAGUUAUUGAUCAACACUGAAUUCAGGCUCGCGUUUACGUCAGUGUUGCCAUGGCAACACGAUAAUUUUAAUUUUUUUUUUUUGUACAACAUGCCAAAAAUAGUUGAAUGAUUAUUGCUUUUAUUAAAAACUAUAUAACAAUGAAUUUCCGAAAUAUUUAGGUAUGUUGUUCUGCAUUUUAUAACAUCGCGGAAAAACGUCUGCGCAUGCGUCAUAAUUACUGCAAUCUGUAUUGCGAACGUGAUGUCAAGUGUUCCGAAUGUUGUCAAAAACUCAAAAUGGAAGCGACUUCGAUGUUUUGUCUUUUCUAUGAAAAUGCAAGCGGAAUAAUGAACGUGACAACCUAAAAACUAGAAAUAAUUAUAGCCUACAUAUGCAAGAAGUAGUAUUAUGCAAGAAAAUAAACCGAAGAUGACUGUCGAUAAAUUUAUUGUAGAAAACGUUCUUUAAUUAACUGAACCAUACAAAGAUAUUUUUCGUAGGUUCAUAUCAUCCACAUUUUUGUCAAUAACUUUCUUUGCGUAACAUGUAUAAUUUUUGCGUUGACUAUAUUUAAGGGUAAUGAUUUACUCUACAAUUUAAUCGUGCGCAAAUGCUUAACUGUUCGAUAGUUUUCUGCUUUAAGUUCGGUAUUCGACAAUUUUUCAAGAAAUGUUCACACGCCUCCCGGUUUUAAACGGUAAUUUUUAAUUCAAAUUCUGUUCCAUUUUAGAUUUUAAAUGUUAAAAUA
Molecule: non-coding RNA, 945 nt
Organism: Paramuricea clavata
Lineage: Eukaryota; Metazoa; Cnidaria; Anthozoa; Malacalcyonacea; Plexauridae
Source: the annotation of a GenBank genome assembly